RNAcentral lists this ribosomal RNA (434 nucleotides) under uncultured bacterium. RNAcentral describes it as "bacterial SSU rRNA". It matches the Rfam family "Bacterial small subunit ribosomal RNA", at positions 29 to 507 of the family's 1533-position model. The record is from RNAcentral.
AGCGAACGCUGGCGGCAGGCCUAACACAUGCAAGUCGAACGGAUCCUUCGGGAUUAGUGGCGGACGGGUGAGUAACACGUGGGAACGUGCCUUUUGGUUCGGAACAACUCAGGGAAACUUGAGCUAAUACCGAAUGUGCCCUUCGGGGGAAAGAUUUAUCGCCAUUAGAGCGGCCCGCGUCUGAUUAGCUUGUUGGUGAGGUAAAAGGCUCACCAAGGCUACGAUCAGUAGCUGGUCUGAGAGGAUGAACGGCCACAUUGGGACUGAGACACGGCCCAAACUCCUACGGGAGGCAGCAGUGGGGAAUCUUAGACAAUGGGGGAAACCCUGAUCUAGCCAUGCCGCGUGGACGAUGAAGGCCUUAGGGUUGUAAAGUCCUUUCAGCUGGGAAGAUAAUGACGGUACCAGCAGAAGAAGCCCCGGCUAACUCCGUG